Lepisosteus oculatus (spotted gar) is the source of this 1067-nucleotide non-coding RNA. The record is from RefSeq and is a predicted model, not a curated record. Lineage: Eukaryota; Metazoa; Chordata; Actinopteri; Semionotiformes; Lepisosteidae.
AGGAGAAAGGACAACCACAAAGCAACCAGUCAGUGACCUUUUGGCAGAUAGCCAAGCACUGAGAGUGACUCUGUGUACUCUUGUUCCGUUGCUAAUAUUGUCAAUAUUGAUAAUCGUUUGGAAGUACAGGUGCCACUCAAAACAAGAUACAGAAGGACUAAGAGCAGACCAACAAUGUGACAUCCAAGAAACCUUAGGUGCAUACUCUGAAAUAAUGGAGACCAAUGAGCUGUAUACAUGGGAUCAAGACAGCACCAUCUAUGACCAUGAGGAAGCUAAAUACAGUGAAAUUCCAGACUGCUGAGGACAAACAGUAGCCAGUAACAAAUAUUUGGUGACCCAGCAGUUACCUGCUAGUUACUAUGCAGACGAGGACAUCCAAAAAAAAAAAGAGACCAGCAUGAAGAAAACAGUACUUACACAAAACGAAACAACAAUUUGUUUUCAAUGAAGUUUUUUGUGACCUUGCAUUAAAAUGUUCUUUAGCGUGUACAUAUGUAAAUAUGUAAAUAGAGAGGUCCAGUCACACAAUGGAAAUGGUUACAGGCUAUAAGAAUCAUACUCUACAGACUACCAUGAUGAAGGCAAGAGAUACACCAGUAGUGAAAAAACCUUUCAAGGAAUCACAUGGUUGGUUAACAAAAUGUUGGAUCCUAUGAGAAAUGUUUUGGACUCUGCAUCCAGCUUGUUUUUGAAUUUGCAAUGAUGUUGUCUCUAACAUCACGUGUUCCCACAUAGCUUUUACACACAAUAGGCAAAACCUGGGUAACCUCACACAUCUGCUUAUAUUAAAAUUGUUUAAGGGUUGAGUUACACAAUAUUAAAAUAUUAACAUAGGAUUCAGAGCCUGAAAAUAAACUGACAACUUAGGCAACUCAAUGGCCAUUCUUAGCAGACAAACCAUAAGUGUAUAUGAGCCCUAUUUAUGUGCAUCCACGUGCUGUAUUCAAGUAAAACAAAAGCUUGUUGGGUUGCAUUUUCAUAAAUAUUGAAGAUUCUUUAUUUCAGUUGUAUCUAUUUAAUGUUCUUUAAUUGUAAAUAUCACUGAUGAAUGAGUGUUAGUUAUC